Molecule: ribosomal RNA, 405 nt
Filed under: uncultured bacterium
Lineage: Bacteria
Description: partial 16S ribosomal RNA
Rfam family: Bacterial small subunit ribosomal RNA
Source: RNAcentral
GACGAACGCUGGCGGCGUGCUUAACACAUGCAAGUCGAGCGGAGCGGCGAACGGGUGAGUAACGCGUGAGUAACUGCCCCCCUCUCUGGGAUAACAGUUGGAAACGGCUGCUAAUACCGGAUAGUGGGGGAUGACUCGCGGCCUAUCAGCUUGUUGGUGGGGUAGUGGCCUACCCAGGCGACGACGGGUAGCCGGCCUGAGAGGGCGACCGGCCAAAUGGGGCUGAGAUACAGCCCUAACUCCGACGGGAGGCAGCAGUGGGGAAUAUUGACCAAUGGUGGAAAGCCUGAUGCAGCAACGCCGCGUGCGUGAUGACGGCCUUCGGGUGGUAAACCGCUUUCAGCCAUGACGCGGUAGUGGCAGAAGAAGUACCGGCUAACUACGUGCCAGCAGCCGCGGUAAUUC